This 81-nucleotide non-coding RNA is filed under the name Thalassiosira gravida. Lineage: Eukaryota; Bacillariophyta; Thalassiosirophyceae; Thalassiosirales; Thalassiosiraceae. The record is from RNAcentral.
AUAUAUACGAAAGAAAGGAAGAAAGAAAGAAAGAGAGAGAGAGUCGGAUAUCUUUUUCGUAGUUCGAUAGUUUUUGUUUUU